This 431-nucleotide ribosomal RNA is filed under the name uncultured bacterium. Its description in RNAcentral is "partial 16S ribosomal RNA". It matches the Rfam family "Bacterial small subunit ribosomal RNA", at positions 29 to 507 of the family's 1533-position model. The record is from RNAcentral.
AACGAACGCUGGCGGCAGGCUUAACACAUGCAAGUCGAGCGCCCCGCACGGGGAGCGUCAGCCGGGUGAGUACCGCGUGGGAACGUAUCUUUUGGUUCGGCACAACUCCGGGAAACUGGAGCUAAUACCGGUUAAGCCCUAACGGGGAAACAUUUAUGGCCGUAAGAUCGGCCCGCGUUUUAUUUGCUAGUUGGUGAGUUAACGGCUCACCAAGGUUUCGUUCAGUAGCUGGCUUGGGAGGAGGAUCAGCCACAAUGGGACUAAGACACGGACCAGAACCGUACGGGAGGCAGCAGAGGAGAAUAUUAGACAAGGGACGCAAGCCUAAGCCAGCCAUGCCACGGGAGUGAUGAAGGCCUUAGGGUUGUAAAGCUCUUUUGUCCGGGAAGAUAAUGACUGUACCGGAAGAAUAAGCCCCGGCUAACUUCGUG